AACUUAAAUGGCCGUGGUAUUUUGACCGUGCUAAGGUAGCAUAAUCAUUAGUUUUUUAAUUGAAAACUGGAAUGAAAGGUUGCAUAAGAAAAUGACUGUCUCUAUUAAAUUUUAUUAGAAUUUUAUUUUUAAGUUAAAAAGCUUAAAUAAAAUUAAAAGACGAGAAGACCCUAUAGAGUUUAAUUGUUAAUUAAAAAUUAUAUUUUGGAAUUAAUUUAUAUAUUUUAUUUAACAAUUUAAUUGGGGUGAUUGAAAAAUUUAAUAAACUUUUUUUAUUUUUAAACAUAAAUUUAUGAGCAAGUGAUCCAAUAUUUUUGAUUAUAAGAUAAAAUUACCUUAGGGAUAACAGCGUAAUUUUUUUAUAAAGUUCAUAUUAAAAAAAAAGAUUGCGA
This 392-nucleotide ribosomal RNA is filed under the name Chrysolina sylvatica. RNAcentral describes it as "partial 16S ribosomal RNA". The record is from RNAcentral. Lineage: Eukaryota; Metazoa; Arthropoda; Insecta; Coleoptera; Chrysomelidae.